UUGUUUAAGGUACACUGUUUAAAAUCAUGUCUUCUUUUUCAAGUUGUGUGAUCAGGCACGUAUGGCGGUGAAUAUUUUAAGAUUUAGAAAUAAAAAUACGAGACAAAUAUUAACUAUUAACCAAAUACAGUUAAAAAUAUUUAUUUGUGUAUAAGAAACCAUUCAUUGUUUCCUAGUUAAAAACAAUGGGUCAAUUAACAAAACGCUCACUGGUCAAUUACAACAAUUACUGUAAUCGAUAUGCAGAACCAAAUCAGAUUUCAACGUCUCAAGUGCUGGAUUUUUAUGUUCCGCAAUACUUUGUGAAAAAUUCUGUUUUCUGUUUUGCGUUGAAAGUUGUUCAAUAAAAAAUGGGGACUGUAUCUAAUUUAUUACGGAUGGUUGUUGUCAUUGUGAACUGUCUGUUUAUGAUCACUGGACUCGCUUUCUUCGCCGGGGGGACUGUUUCUGCGAUUCGGAGAUUCCGUACUCGACGGUGCUGUAAGUGGUGCCGAGUCGUCUCUGGAGACGUCCUUGUCCAGUGCUGGCUUUGGCACAGUAGAUAUUAAUUUAGAAUUGUCUUCGAUGCUUUUUGCACUGGCCUUGGUCUUUACUUUCGUAGGACUGGCGAUAAUUAUCAUCACCAUGAUGGGUUGCUGCGGUGCGUGUUGCAAGAUCAAAUGCAUGCUCAUUUUUUAUGUUGUUGUGUGUUCCAUCUUGUUGAUCGGCCAGGCAGUGACAGUGGGCAUAGUCUAUGGCUCGCCUAAAACAAUUAAAGAUCCUUUGAAGACAAGUCUAAAGAACAACAUUCAGUCGGACUAUGGCGGUUUAAAUGGUACAAACCUAGUAUCCCAGGGCUGGAAUGUCAUCAUGCAAAAGGUAAUAGCGUCUACGUAAAACACAUUUUACCUAGGAUGAGGACCAAACAAAGGAAUUUCCAGCCUCUUUGACCU
Mercenaria mercenaria is the source of this 932-nucleotide long non-coding RNA. RefSeq lists it as uncharacterized. The record is from RefSeq and is a predicted model, not a curated record. NCBI's taxonomy places the organism in Eukaryota, Metazoa, Mollusca, Bivalvia, Venerida, Veneridae. The transcript has 4 exons.